Molecule: non-coding RNA, 45 nt
Filed under: Schistosoma haematobium
Lineage: Eukaryota; Metazoa; Platyhelminthes; Trematoda; Strigeidida; Schistosomatidae
Source: RNAcentral
ACCCAGCUGACGAGUCCGACAUAGAACGGAACGUGCGUCCUGGAU